Molecule: ribosomal RNA, 490 nt
Filed under: uncultured bacterium
Lineage: Bacteria
Description: bacterial SSU rRNA
Rfam family: Bacterial small subunit ribosomal RNA
Source: RNAcentral
AUUGAACGCUGGCGGCAGGCUUAACACAUGCAAGUCGAACGGUAACAUAAAGAAGCUUGCUUCUUUGAUGACGAGUGGCGGACGGGUGAGUAAUGCUUGGGAAUCUAGCUUAUGGAGGGGGAUAACUACGGGAAACUGUAGCUAAUACCGCGUAAUAUCGAAAGAUUAAAGUGUGGGACCUUCGGGCCACAUGCCAUAGGAUGAGCCCAAGUGGGAUUAGGUAGUUGGUGAGGUAAAGGCUCACCAAGCCGACGAUCUCUAGCUGGUCUGAGAGGAUGACCAGCCACACUGGGACUGAGACACGGCCCAGACUCCUACGGGAGGCAGCAGUGGGGAAUAUUGCGCAAUGGGGGCAACCCUGACGCAGCCAUGCCGCGUGAAUGAAGAAGGCCUUCGGGUUGUAAAGUUCUUUCGGUAGCGAGGAAGGCAUUUAGUUUAAUAAACUAGGUGAUUGACGUUAACUACAGAAGAAGCACCGGCUAACUCCGUG